RNAcentral lists this ribosomal RNA (774 nucleotides) under uncultured Neocallimastigales. RNAcentral describes it as "partial large subunit ribosomal RNA". It matches the Rfam family "Eukaryotic large subunit ribosomal RNA", at positions 22 to 635 of the family's 3401-position model. Lineage: Eukaryota; Fungi; Neocallimastigomycota; Neocallimastigomycetes; Neocallimastigales. The record is from RNAcentral.
GUACACGCUGUGACUAGCAUAUCAAUAAGCGGAGGAAAAGAAACUAACAAGGAUUCCCCUAGUAACGGCGAGUGAAGCGGGAAGAGCUCAAAUUUGAAAUCUUAAAGGGUUUCCCUUUACGAAUUGUAGUUUAAAGAAGUGUUUUCUGUUGAGGUUUUGGUAAAAGUUCUUUGGAAUAGGACAUCAUAGAGGGUGAGGAUCCCGUAUUUGACCUUUACUUUCAACUUUGUGAUACACUUUCAAAGAGUCGGAUUGUUUGGGAAUGCAGUCCAAAAUGGGUGGUAAAUUUCAUCUAAAGCUAAAUAUUGGCGAGAGACCGAUAGCGAACAAGUACCGUGAGGGAAAGAUGAAAAGAACUUUGAAAAGAGAGUUAAACAGUACGUGAAAUUGUCAAAAGGGAAGCGUUUGACACCAGUGUUGUUUUUCUGAAAAUCAAUUAAAGAACUGUUUAUGCUAAGCUGUUUAGACUUUAUCAGCUAUCUGUUUAGUUUUGAGCUUUUCUUUAAUGCACUUUUCAGUUAACAAGUCAACAUCAAUUUCUUUUGCUGUAAAAAAGCUUGAGGAAGGUGGCUUGAGAUUCGUCUUAAGUGUUUAUAGCCUCUUGCCUAUGCAGUCGGAGAGAUUGAGGUCUGCAGCGUAGAUCCUUCGGGGCUAAAUGCAUUUGUGCUAAGUUAUAGCAUUUUAUAGACAACUUGUUGACUAUGAUUUGUCUUGUAGCUUACUCGCUUAUGUUAUUUUACCUACGCUUAGGAUGUUGAAGAUGUAGCACAUCAU